GCAACGAUGUAACACCAGACUUUUUUUGCAGUAUCACUUAUCCAGUGAAGACCGGAGACAUGUGCAGGUGGGCAGUUCGGCUGGGGCGGCACCCCUUUGAAAAGAUAUCAAAGGGGCCCAAAGUUGAGUUCAAACGGGGCAGAAAUCCGUUGAAGAGGGCAAAGCCAAAAACUCGACUGAAUGGAUUUCCAAACGCACGGAAUUCAUAGACGAAAGUCUGGCUUAGCGAUCCUUCGUGUGCCCACUAUUGGGGCCCGGAGGUGACAGAAAAAUUACCCCAGGGAUAACAGGCUCGUCGCGGGCGAGAGCUCCUAUCGACCCCGCGGUUUGGUACCUCGAUGUCGGCUUUUCCUAUCCUGGUCCUGCAGCAGGGGCCAACGGUGAGGCUGCUCGCCUAUUAAAAGGGAACAUGAGCUGGGGUUAGACCGUCCUGA
This 434-nucleotide ribosomal RNA is filed under the name uncultured archaeon. Its description in RNAcentral is "bacterial LSU rRNA". It matches the Rfam family "Archaeal large subunit ribosomal RNA", at positions 2263 to 2693 of the family's 2987-position model. The record is from RNAcentral.